UGCAGUCGAGCGAUGGAUUAAGAGCUUGCUCUUAUGAAGUUAGCGGCGGACGGGUGAGUAACACGUGGGUAACCUGCCCAUAAGACUGGGAUAACUCCGGGAAACCGGGGCUAAUACCGGAUAACAUUUUGAACCGCAUGGUUCGAAAUUGAAAGGCGGCUUCGGCUGUCACUUAUGGAUGGACCCGCGUCGCAUUAGCUAGUUGGUGAGGUAACGGCUCACCAAGGCAACGAUGCGUAGCCGACCUGAGAGGGUGAUCGGCCACACUGGGACUGAGACACGGCCCAGACUCCUACGGGAGGCAGCAGUAGGGAAUCUUCCGCAAUGGACGAAAGUCUGACGGAGCAACGCCGCGUGAGUGAUGAAGGCUUUCGGGUCGUAAAACUCUGUUGUUAGGGAAGAACAAGUGCUAGUUGAAUAAGCUG
This 425-nucleotide ribosomal RNA is filed under the name Bacillus subtilis. RNAcentral describes it as "bacterial SSU rRNA". It matches the Rfam family "Bacterial small subunit ribosomal RNA", at positions 56 to 471 of the family's 1533-position model. The record is from RNAcentral. Lineage: Bacteria; Bacillati; Bacillota; Bacilli; Caryophanales; Bacillaceae.